CUGAUAAAAAUUGAAUAGAAAACUGAGCGGAGAUCAGGGAAAGAGGUGCGAUUCCUCUACAGGCCCUAGCUACUGUGAAGCGGACGAAAUCCCAUUCAUGUCACUGGAAUUAUUUCUGGGAAGGCGGGAAAGUAGAAUGAUGUCAAGUCAGGAGACCUCCUCUGUUCAGCCUUGCAGC
This 178-nucleotide non-coding RNA is filed under the name Paenibacillus dendritiformis. Lineage: Bacteria; Bacillati; Bacillota; Bacilli; Caryophanales; Paenibacillaceae. The record is from RNAcentral.